GACAGAGGCCUCGAGCGUUAGACGGAAUCACUGGGCUUAAAGCGUGUGUAGGCGGAUCGUUAAGUGCCUUGUGAAAUCCCCCGGCUUAACCUGGGAACUGCGUCUGAUACUGGAAGGCUCGAGUUUGGGAGAGGGAUGCAGAAUUCCAGGUGUAGCGGUGAAAUGCGUAGAUAUCUGGAGGAAUACCGGUGGCGAAGGCGGCAUCCUGGACCAACACUGACGCUGAGGCGCGAAAGCUAGGGGAGCAAACGGG
This 253-nucleotide ribosomal RNA is filed under the name uncultured bacterium. Its description in RNAcentral is "partial 16S ribosomal RNA". It matches the Rfam family "Bacterial small subunit ribosomal RNA", at positions 524 to 776 of the family's 1533-position model. The record is from RNAcentral.